GCCUGCGCGGCGCGGGAAAGCUGAGUCACGGCGGCGAGGCCGCGGCCGUUUGGCGGCCGUGCGGCGGGGCGGCCUCACCGGGAGCCGCGCCCUGCGAGGGUCCGAGCCCGCGCCGCAGAGGUGCCACCGCGAGACCACUUGCCUUUAAAGACCAACCUUGCCGUCCGUUGUUGAUUGGUUCACGUUGAACUCAGGGCCCGCCGUGCUGUGAGUCACGCCCGAACCCAGCCUGUCCGCUGCUGUUCUCUGGAGGGUGCAUCGCAGCCUCCUGGUGCCUCGGAAACUGGACAGCACCUAAACACCAGCCUGGAGGCCCCUUGAAGCCGAAAGAUUGCCACCAGAAAGCUUAAAACUGUGAAGACCGUAACACUGACUAGGCCGUGGAACGGAAGCUUAUUUACCGUGUCAGAAC
This is a long non-coding RNA of Zalophus californianus (California sea lion), 412 nucleotides long. RefSeq lists it as uncharacterized. The transcript has 2 exons. The record is from RefSeq and is a predicted model, not a curated record. Lineage: Eukaryota; Metazoa; Chordata; Mammalia; Carnivora; Otariidae.